UAACUGAAGAGUUUGAUCAUGGCUCAGAUUGAACGCUGGCGGCAGGCUUAACACAUGCAAGUCGAGCGGGGGAAGGUAGCUUGCUACUGGACCUAGCGGCGGACGGGUGAGUAAUGCUUAGGAAUCUGCCUAUUAGUGGGGGACAACAUCUCGAAAGGGAUGCUAAUACCGCAUACGUCCUACGGGAGAAAGCAGGGGAUCUUCGGACCUUGCGCUAAUAGAUGAGCCUAAGUCGGAUUAGCUAGUUGGUGGGGUAAAGGCCUACCAAGGCGACGAUCUGUAGCGGGUCUGAGAGGAUGAUCCGCCACACUGGGACUGAGACACGGCCCAGACUCCUACGGGAGGCAGCAGUGGGGAAUAUUGGACAAUGGGGGGAACCCUGAUCCAGCCAUGCCGCGUGUGUGAAGAAGGCCUUAUGGUUGUAAAGCACUUUAAGCGA
Molecule: ribosomal RNA, 439 nt
Filed under: Acinetobacter baumannii
Lineage: Bacteria; Pseudomonadati; Pseudomonadota; Gammaproteobacteria; Moraxellales; Moraxellaceae
Description: bacterial SSU rRNA
Rfam family: Bacterial small subunit ribosomal RNA
Source: RNAcentral